AAAAAAAAACAUUUUUGAACAUGGGUUUUAUUAGCAUUCUAGUCAGUUUAGAUUGGAAUCUUGAACAGUUUUAAUCUGAUUUAAUCGAGGAAAACAGAAUGGAGAGACUAGAUGUUCUUCAAAUCUUGGCAGAAAGGAAUGAAAGAAGAAUUAAACGCGAAUUGGAGCUCAAUGGUUUACCGUCAGAAAGCAAUGAUUCUUUGCCCAUAACCCAAAAUUUUUCAGGUCUUGAGUAACGAAGACUUAUUGUUCCACAUCAGUAGUUGUAAAUGUGAAUCAUAGAUGGCGAUGAAACUUGUAUUUUAGUCUGCUAAUAAAGAGAGAAAAAAAAUUCGAAUAAAAUGUCUGCAAUUGUCAACCUACGUGUUUUCCGUAAUUUUCAGCAGUUUGUGUCAAUUAGACCCAUUUCUAAUUAUCCCACAUCAUUUCAAAAAAAUUAGGAAAUUCAAAAAGUGGAUGGAGAAUUACAUUCUCUGGAUUCGAGUCCAAACAAUUCGUUGAACAUGAGAUCAUACGGACGCAAAGUAUACAAGAGAGCAGCAGUUCAUCUUCCAACAAAACGCCAACUGAUGAAGACUGGCCCUUGGUUUGGUCAGUUUGCCAGAUCUUUCCAUCC
Long non-coding RNA from Daphnia pulicaria, 616 nucleotides. RefSeq lists it as uncharacterized. The record is from RefSeq and is a predicted model, not a curated record. Lineage: Eukaryota; Metazoa; Arthropoda; Branchiopoda; Diplostraca; Daphniidae. The transcript has 3 exons.